UAGGGAAUUUUCCACAAUGGGGCAGCCUGAUCGAGCAAUGCGCAGUCGAGUGAAGACAGCAAUUUCGUUGUGUAAAGCUCUGUUGUAAGGGAAGAAUAAGGAAGAGAGGGAAUGCUCUUUCGAUGACGGUACCUACCAGAAAGCCACGGCUAACUACGUGCCAGCAGCCGCGGUAAUACGUAGGUGGCAAGCGUUAUCCGGAAAUUAUUGGGCGUAAAGGGUGCGCAGGCGGUAAGAUAAGUUUGAGGUAAAAGGUCACAGCUCAACUGUGGUAGGCCUUGAAAACUGUUUUACUAGAGUGCAGGAGAGGGUGAUGGAAUUCCAUGUGUAGCGGUAAAAUGCGUAGAUAUAUGGAGGAACACCAGUGGCGAAGGCGGUCACCUGGCCUGUAAACUGACGCUCAAGCACGAAAAGCGUGGGGAGCAAAUAGGAUUAGAUACC
This 441-nucleotide ribosomal RNA is filed under the name uncultured bacterium. RNAcentral describes it as "bacterial SSU rRNA". It matches the Rfam family "Bacterial small subunit ribosomal RNA", at positions 355 to 786 of the family's 1533-position model. The record is from RNAcentral.